CAAAAUGACAACAACCCAAGAGAGCAGAGGGAUGGUUUUCUUCCUACAAUGAAAUGUGUAGUGAAAAAACAGCAAGACAAGGGGUUUUAAGUUGAAGGAUGGAAGAUUUUGGUUGGAUAUCAGGAUAUCAGGGGGAAGUUCUUUACUAUGAGAGUGGUGAGGUGCUGGAACAGGCUGCUCAGAGAGGUUGUGGAUGCCCCAUCCCUGGAGGUGUUCAAGGCCAGUUUGGAUCCAGGCCCUGGAUAGCCUGCUCUAGUAUUAGAUGUGGAGGUUGGUGGCCCUGCCUGUGGUGGGGGGGUUGGAGCUUCAUGAUCCUUGAGGUCCCUUCCAACCUGGGCCAUUCUGUGUGAUUUAUUAUAGAAAAAAGUCACUAUUUCUCCAGUGUCCUUUGGUCCAACACAAUCAUCUCUAAGAAUGAAUGCAGUCUCUUCUUCUAUCCUUAAUUACCCUCGGGAGUUUUGCUAAACAUUUGAAGGAACAGGCAAAUGUGACAGUAUCACAGUGUCCCUCAUGUUAUGCUGAGGCAGUAGCCAGAGGCAAGCCACAUUGAAAUUCUCAAUUGAUUUCCAAAAAGCUAUCUUGUUUUUUUCUGAUUCCUCAUCUGUCAGAUAGAAGAAAAAUCACCUGUUUCUAAUUUCUGACAAAAGAACAAGGAGACUUUUGUUCUAGAGUGUAAUGAUUUCCACUCGUGAAUUCUGCUAAAAAGCAAGGAAAACAAGCAGUAUGAAAAAGCGACAGUAGCUCAGCCGAAGACAGGCAAAGGCCCUCCUGGCUCAGUGCAGCACUUCCCUUUGCCUUCCUUUCCAUGUGUGAUGCUCACAGCAGAUUCAUCUGCUGAUUUUCUAACUCCACACAGCUCCAGAGUAAUUGCACUACAGCCAAACAAAUUACUCUAGGUUGACGAGAGCAUAAGUCAGAACUAAAUCCAGCCUAUGCUUUUUACUUCAUAUAGUAUAAAAUAAAUAAUGGAAUCCAAUUAUACAAUAACUCAUCAAACAGGUUUUCUACACUGGUAGGUGGGUAUUUAUAGCAUCUCAUGCUAUUAACAGAAUAAACCUGCACACAUCAAUUAACUUAGAUUUAAAUCUCUCAGCUUCAUCUGGCCAAGAGCAAGGAUCUGAGCAGACCAAAACCAAGUGCCAAGCAGAGACAUUCUGCCGGAUGCUGCUGAAAGGAGCUCAGCAUGAAGCUGAGCUUGGCGUUGUGCAGGAGCAGUGCUGACAGCUGAAAGGAUCUGUGAUCCUCCAGCAAAGCAGUCAGAGAGGCAAAUUCAAAGAGUGUGACCCACAGGAAUUUGAAAUAAAGCCAAGAGGCAAAAAGCAAAACUGAUCAACCAACAAAACAUCACAAAGCACAUUUGUAAAUCUUACUAGGCCCUGGGAAGAAUAAAACUUUCUCAGAGCAGUGAGGAAACAAGUGGCCCUGGGAAAAGCUGUGGAGAGUCUUAGGUUUGGGGCUAGUGCUGUCCUUGCCCCACAGUUGCAGCUGUAGGAAGCAAGAAGUUCUGGACUUCUAAAGCAACUCCCAGGAGCAGUAUUCGGCCUGGUGACUGUAGGAGAUGCUUCAAUUUCAAGGUAUUCAGCUUGGGAAAGAUCAGCAAAGUGUUUUGUUUUAGGAAAUCUUUCACCUCCUUAGAAGAAGGCAGCUUGCUGAUUUCACCUGAGGGCAACGAGGAACACAUGGUGACCAUAGAACAGCCCACACUCAGGAGACCAGGUGCUAGGAUGUCAUUGAUAAAUGAACCAGACACCAUCUCAGGUAAGUAACUCCUUUGCAAGGAAGUGGGUACAGCUCUAGAUAUCCUACUCACAUGCACCUACUCCUCAGGCUAUUCUGCUGGCUGGACAACUAAUGAAAUGAGCAGCAGCCUCAGGAUUAAGGGGAAUGUCAGAAUGCGAGUGAAACACUAAACUUUAAAGUCUGUGAAUGAAAUGCAGGAGGGGGAAAAGUAAAGAACUGGAAAAAGUCUGCUUUGUUUCUCAGUUACUUUUAUAGUCUUGGUUCCUGUACUGACAGAUCCAUGUGUUCAAAUAAUCUUCCUGGAAAAAAUAAGGAAGAGGAAAAAAAAAAACCAGCAUUGCAGAAAAUAUACAGGACUCUUCAUACCUGAAUUCUUUAAAAGAAGGAGGACUUAAUGACAACAUGCCCUGUGGAAACUAGGACAUCCAAAUGAUCUUCAGCAAUCGUUUCACUUGACUGAGGAGCCUACUGCACAUUUGCAUUUCAGCAGUGGCAAUAGGAGAACUUCAGCUCUUAUUUUUAAUGAAGAGAGACGGAGAUAGUGCACAGAUGUUGGUAAUUAAAAUCUCAGCUCUAACAAGGAAGGAAGGACAGAUGGAGAGACAGAUUCACCAACCAGCUAGCUGCAUGAUUCCUGCUGAUUAAAUUCUCCAAGAGCAGUAUCCAAAGAAUGAAAGUGAAUUGCAAGAUGAGAUCCACGCCUUGAGCAGCCUGUUGCAGGUACCAAUGAAGUAAGUUAAUAAACACACACGCCAGCUUCGCCUUCCAUGAAGAAACAAGCACAUUAAGACUUCCAUGGGUGCUUCACAGCACAAGACAGAAUAUUAAAAUUAAGCAGCUAGGAUUCUCUUAUCCUGAACUGGAUCUAGUUUAGCACCCAGACAUGUGAUUUGGUGGAUUUAUUUGAGCUCUUAAUUCUCCCCAUCCACCUUUCUGAAGGAAGUAACCACUUUACUAGGUCAGUUGCUUAAAUAGUUUGAUAAUUAGUGCCUUAGUUACCUUCUUCAUUUUCUGGCAUCUUAAUACAAAUGCCAUCCAUGAGUGAUUCUGUGUUUUGUACUCAGCCUGUGUGGACAUUUUAAUCUGCUUUCUUUACUACUUAUAUUUAUUACAGGACCUUGGGUAAAACCUUAAGUACCCUCAUGCUUUAGUUUUUCAGUCUGUAUAACAAAAAUAUGAGGCCCAUAGUGUACAAAUCCUUUUUCCACAUUUAGUUUAGUUCAAAAAUGAAAUCAGAUUUGAAAGCUGUCUGUUUUAUAUGCAGGAAAUGUUUCAUAUUCCUUUAAAGCAAUCUCUUAGGAGUGUUCUCAAAUGAGAUCAAAUGCCUUAAGAAAAAUUCUCCCCAGUGCUUACUGGGCACUUGCCUACACAGAAAGGUUUUUUUUUUU
Molecule: non-coding RNA, 3128 nt
Organism: Coturnix japonica (Japanese quail)
Lineage: Eukaryota; Metazoa; Chordata; Aves; Galliformes; Phasianidae
Source: RefSeq, a predicted model, not a curated record